Molecule: ribosomal RNA, 373 nt
Filed under: uncultured bacterium
Lineage: Bacteria
Description: bacterial SSU rRNA
Rfam family: Bacterial small subunit ribosomal RNA
Source: RNAcentral
CACGUAGGGGGCGAGCGUUGUUCGGAAUCAUUGGGCGUAAAGGGCGUGCAGGCGGUCCUGCAAGUCCGGCGUGAGAGACCCCGGCCCAACCGGGGGGACGCGCUGGAAACUGCAGGGCUUGAGUACAGGAGGGGAUGCCGGAAUUCCAGGUGUAGGGGUGAAAUCUGUAGAUAUCUGGAAGAACACCGAUGGCGAAGGCAGGCAUCUGGCCAUGUACUGACGCUGAGACGCGACGGUGCGGGGAGUAAACAGGUUUAGAUACCCUGGUAGUCCGCACAGUAAACGAUGUGCACCAGGUGGCGGGGGUAGAACCCUCGGUACCGUAGCAAACGCAUUAAGUGCACCGCCUGGGGAGUAUGCUCGCAAGGGUGAA